Molecule: ribosomal RNA, 175 nt
Filed under: Plestiodon finitimus
Lineage: Eukaryota; Metazoa; Chordata; Lepidosauria; Squamata; Scincidae
Description: partial 12S rRNA
Source: RNAcentral
CACCGCGGUUAUACGAAAAACCCGAAACAACGGCCCCCGGCGUAAAGCGUGACUAGAGACAGUUAAACUUUAAUGGAAAACCGUCGCCCAGCCGUAAAACGCCCCUGCGAAUUGGAAACCCACCAACAAAAUGCCCUUAAACAAAAAACCGCUUGACCUCACGAAAGCUGAGAAA